Molecule: ribosomal RNA, 425 nt
Filed under: uncultured bacterium
Lineage: Bacteria
Description: partial 16S ribosomal RNA
Rfam family: Bacterial small subunit ribosomal RNA
Source: RNAcentral
GUGGGGAAUCUUGCGCAAUGGGCGAAAGCCUGACGCAGCCAUGCCGCGUGAAUGAUGAAGGUCUUAGGAUUGUAAAAUUCUUUCACCGGGGACGAUAAUGACGGUACCCGGAGAAGAAGCCCCGGCUAACUUCGUGCCAGCAGCCGCGGUAAUACGAAGGGGGCUAGCGUUGCUCGGAAUUACUGGGCGUAAAGGGCGCGUAGGCGGACAGUUUAGUCAGAGGUGAAAGCCCAGGGCUCAACCUUGGAAUUGCCUUUGAUACUGGCUGUCUGGAGUACGGGAGAGGUGAGUGGAACUCCGAGUGUAGAGGUGAAAUUCGUAGAUAUUCGGAAGAACACCAGUGGCGAAGGCGACUCACUGGCCCGUUACUGACGCUGAGGCGCGAAAGCGUGGGGAGCAAACAGGAUUAGAUACCCGUGUAGUCC